Molecule: long non-coding RNA, 4603 nt
Organism: Vespa mandarinia (Asian giant hornet)
Lineage: Eukaryota; Metazoa; Arthropoda; Insecta; Hymenoptera; Vespidae
Source: RefSeq, a predicted model, not a curated record
ACUAGUAACCCACACUUUAGUAUUCUCGCGGUGUCGUCCGGUGGUGGUGUUGUCCCGUGGUGUGCCGUACCGCGGUGUGUCGUACGAGGAGACUUCCUCAUUCCAGAAUCGAGCUAUUGUGAAGUCUCCUCCCACCCCAGCUCACCCCUACCUCAUCAUAUGCCCACCUUCCACUUCCUUACUCUCUUCUCUAACUUCGCGAGGCCCAACCGCAUUACUCGAACGAUGCUUAUUUACUUACUUGGUUCGUUCCUUUCGCGGAAAACCAUACUCCUUCCCAAAGCAAUUUUCUUUACUCCCAACGUGUAUUCUCUAUCCCUUGUGUAUCUUAUGGUUUAAAUCCGAGACCUCCAUUAUUCUUGGUGCGACUUCACGCAGCUUUUCGGAGAAACGAACGUUUGAGAUUACCACAAGAGAGUUUCUAACAUUUGCCAUAUCCUAUGAUUUUGCACGCUCUUAUAAGUAUUAAAAUAUGGAAGGAUACUGAUUUUAUUUCACUAUCUCUAAUCAAUUAUUUUUCUACCAAAAGAAACAAAAAAAAAAAAAACAUACUUUAUGUUUUAGAAUCGUAAAACCUUGCCUUGGACUAUCUCCAGCAAUAGCGAACAUUCCUAACGUUUGACGUUGCUUCUAAUAGUAAACACAAAACCUGGCAAAGUUUGAUAGAGACAGAGAGACAGAGAGAGAGAGAGAGACAGAGACAGAGAGAGAGAGAGAGAGAGAGAGAAAGUCUACAGUAGAAUAACAAUAUAAUCCUUAUCUAGCACACAAAAUGAGUGACAUCGAUGAGUACACAUUUCUCACUCCGCAACCUCUUCAUUUUCGUUUAAUCAGUAAUUACUAUUCAUACCCAACGUGAUCACGAUGACGACAAUGGGCACAAUCGAACGUAAAUCGAGAAACGGAGAAGAAGAAGAAGAAGAAAAAGAAGAAGAAGAAGAAAAAGGAAAAGGAGAAAGAGAAGAAGUGACAGAGGAGGAGGAGGAGGAGGAGGAGGAAGAGGAGGACGACGACGAAGAAAAGGAGGGGACUGUAUCGUCGCCAAAGAGGAUGGAGUGGCGCCAAACGGCGUGGAUGCGAUUCGAGUUCUCGGCCGAAUAACAAGUAAAUCAAGCGUGUAAUUGGAAUUCAAUUCGCACAGUGGCACAGAUACAAGGCAUUACGAUUCCAUCGGCAGCAGGCUCGUGCAAGCAAGCAAGCAAGCAAGCAAGCAAGUAAGUAAGAGAACGAGCAAGUGAGCAAGCAAGCAAGCACGAGUAUAAACGCGUCAAGUAGGGUUCUGUAAUCUACGAGUAAAUCGCCUCUUUACGACGAUAGCCUUUCGUUCUAACGUAUCCAAAGAAAUUGAUACGUGUAAUCUGCCUACGUAUACGGGUAUACGUGUUAACGUGUUUUCGAAUCAUAUCUUUUUGGAUUAUUAUGAUUACUCAACUAAUACUUGGUUGAGAUCUUAAUUCUCAAAGGAAACAAAAUCUAUGGAUGAGUAAAUAUCAAGCAACACAGUAUUACACAUGGUGAAAUAAAACGAAUUCCUUUUUCGAAGCGGAAAGUGUAGGUAUGCGCUAAUGAACGCUCUCCGAACGAAUCGUUAGGUGGGCGUAAGAAUGCUAGUGCGGAUCGUAAAUUAUAAUAAGAAAAUAGAUAGUACAGGGAUUGCUUCUGCAUCGCCAUUGUAGUUCGCGCCGAGUGAAAAGCCACGAGCGUCGUAAUCGACUCGAGACGGAAUUCAAUGUUUCUACCCACGGAAGUGAAGAGAAAAGAAGAAGUUUUGCUCUUCGUUCUGUACACGAAAACGAUAAGAUCAGACUAACAGAGAAAGAGAGAUUUCAAAAAAGAGAAAAAAGAAAUCAAGGAAACAAAAGAAAAAAGAGAAAAAGAAAGAAGAAAAUAAAAAACUAAAUGAACGAUCUUUUUGUUCGAACGUAAAAAAUCACAUAUUAGAUGUUCAAUCUCUAUCAUCAUUAUUUAACAAUUAAAUCUCCAAUUAUGUGAGAAAAUAUUAGAAUAGAGAUUGCAAUGCUUUUAAAAUAUUACAUCUUACGAGUUUUCAGGGCCAACGAAUCGUAUUUGAAUCACACGUUUCCACAGUGUGAGCUCAAAAGCUCCUUGAUAAUUAAAAAAAAUUAAUUUCUCCUUUUCGAGAUUCUUUUACCCUAAUUUGUUUGUUUUUCUUUCUUUCUUUUUCCCCGUCCUCUAAUCCCCCCCCUCCUCCAGAUAAUAAAACUAAAAACCUAACUUGUGAAACUACAAGCUUAAUUACAAUAAUUAAAAAAUCGCGAGUAAUAGUAAUUUUUUUUAUUAAAUUACAUAAAAACUUUGGCCCACCCUUUGUCUCAAAAAUGUAUAGAAAACGUAUCUACAUUUGAUUUUCUAAUCAUAGCAAUCUGACGUUUCUAAUAAUACGAUUUUUUUCGAGAUAAAGAGAAAGAGAAAGAGAAUGAAAUAGAAAGGGGGAGAAACAGAGAAGGGAAGGGAAGAGAGAGAGAGAGAGAGAGAGAGAGAGAGAGAGAGAGAGAGAGAGAGAGAGAGAGAGAGAGAGAGAGGAAGGGCGCAUCAAGAAAAAAGGGGAUGAUAGAGAAGGGUUCGAGGAAAGGAGAAAUGGUAUCAUUGAAAAUAGCGGGCAAUCCGUUAUCAUAUAGUGGGGGAGGAAUAAAAGUGUGAGGGAGAAAAAGAGAGAGAGAGAAAAGGGGGGAGAAAGAGUGGUAUAGCAUAGAAGGUUAACAAAAUCAAUAACAGUGGGUGGUUGAAACAGGGCUGGCCACCCCGGCCAGCCGUCCCGGACUUGCUGGGGGGCUAGGUCGGCCACCGACCUUUAUCCAGGCCAACUGCAUCAUCCCCAUUUCCACGCGUGCAUGCGCGCGCUCCAACUCUACUAUUCUCAUGGCCAGCCCUUUUUCCACGAGCUAAAGUAGUAACUCAGGUAAUAAACAACUUAACGAAGCACAUAAGAUAAAAGUUAAUAUCAACGAACGGGGCUAAGUUGAGAAAGAAAGCAAAAAUAGAAAAAAAUGAACAAAGAAAUGAGAGAGAGAGAGGGAAAGAGAGAGAGAGAGAAAGAGAGAAGAAAAAAAAAGAUAAAAUAGAUACGAAUCGAAAUAUAACUUUUCUAAUAUAUGAAAUAUUCUUUCGACAUUAUGUGAAGUGAAACGUUAGAGAUUCAAACAAGGAAAUAAAUGAAGAAUCCAAUUUCUUUUUAAGGCCCCCCGCCUCUCUCUCUCUCUUUCUCUCUCUCUCUCUCUCUCUCUCAUUUGUUACUUAUAGAAACGUUAAAGAAAAUUCGCCUUCCGGGAAGAAAAUUGGAGCGAGCUAAGCGAGAGACCAAAGUCCCUCUAGUCUUUAUAUAUAGACUCGCGAGAGCUACUUGUAGACGAGCGAGCUCAAAAGCGAACGGUUGUUUUUAACUUCGCUAUAUGAGGAAUAUAUGAUAACGAUCGAACAAACACGUAUGUGUGUGCGAUUUAUUUCAAUAAAAAAAAAAAAAAAAAGAAAAAAAAAACUUCACCUUCCUACCUCCAAAAAAAAAAAGAAAAAAAGAAAAAAAAAGAAAGAGAAAAAAAAAUACGAGUCAAUGAAAAAUGACGGAAAUUUAUAGAUGAGCGAAAUAUCAUUGAAAUUGAUUUUUUAAAUAUCUAAAAGUACCUAUCUACGUCGGUCGUUGACGUCACACGUUCUUUUUGUUAGAUAUUCAAGAUGGCUGCGUCAUCGACGAUCGCCGUUUACAAAGAGAUAUAAUCGUCGUUUAAAUAUAUAUAUAUAUAUAUAUAUGUACAUCCGAAUAUUUUGUAAGAAUCGAGAAACCGAUUAUCCUGAAAUGAAAUAUAGGAAGGAGGAUGAAACCCAAGUUAGAACACUCUGAGAGUGUUUCUAUUUGCGGAAAUUAACGUGUCGCGCGUGUAGUAUGACUAGCGUGCUUAGCAAUUUAGGCCAACACCGACGUGCAGUCGUCCUUGCGAAGCAAUGUCGUCCUGCCAACUGACCGAAACGUACACGUACAGAGAAACAGUAAAAGAAAGAGAGACAGAGAUAGAGACAGAGAAAGAGAGAUAGAUAAAUAGAUAGAGAGAUAGAAAAACAGAAAGAGAGAGAGAGAGAGAGAGAGAGAGAGAGAGAGAGAAAGAGAGACAGAGAAAUAGAUAAAAUGAGAAAGAUACAACGUGACCUGCUUCUUUCCAGGAUCUAGGACAAACUCACAAGGAGAGCAUGCCUUUCCUCGACCUUGCUCUCUCUUUCGUUUUAGAAAUCGGCCCUCCUGUCGAUUUCAUUCGUGAUUUCAGACAAUUCCACUCGCGAAUGAUUUUUUGUUCUCUCUUCUUUUUUCUUUUUUCUUCUUUUUUUAUUUUUUUUUUUUCUGUUUUUUUCGUUUUCUUUUCUUCAGAUUCAUCGUUCAUUUUGUAUUCUUAAAUAUCGAACAGAAAUAUUCUUUCGAUUAAAUCUAAGAAAAAAUCGAUAUAUCAAGUUUAUGAUCGUUUUACAACGUAUUUAUAUUUAAUUCGUUAGAUCUUCUAAAUAUUUGGAAGGUAAUUAUUGAAUAUUAUUUAUUUACUCGACAGAAUGUAAAAAUAGACAAUUGUUUCUAUAAUCCAAAAAAAGAAAAAAAAAAAAA